RNAcentral lists this long non-coding RNA (201 nucleotides) under Setaria italica (foxtail millet). RNAcentral's name for it is "long non-coding RNA (SITA_LNC002344)". The record is from RNAcentral. Lineage: Eukaryota; Viridiplantae; Streptophyta; Magnoliopsida; Poales; Poaceae.
GGGUGUGUUUGGUUUUGGAACGACGUGGGUCGGGUCGGAGCCGACCCACUUUUGUGGGUUGGAGCCAACCCAGCUCGUGUUUGGAUGAGUGGGUUGGAGCCGACCCAGUUUUUUGUUUGGUUGAAAAAGUUGAGAGGGUUGGGAUGAUGUCCUUUUAACACCGUUAGCUGUGGGCCCCGCCUGUCAGUUGCGGGGCCCACC